This 500-nucleotide ribosomal RNA is filed under the name uncultured bacterium. RNAcentral describes it as "bacterial SSU rRNA". It matches the Rfam family "Bacterial small subunit ribosomal RNA", at positions 8 to 502 of the family's 1533-position model. The record is from RNAcentral.
AGAGUUUGAUCCUGGCUCAGGAUGAACGCUAGCGGCAGGCUUAACACAUGCAAGUCGAGGGGUAACAGGAAUAGCUUGCUAUUUGCUGACGACCGGCGCACGGGUGCGUAACGCGUAUACAAUCUACCUUUUACAGAGGGAUAGCCCAGAGAAAUUUGGAUUAACACCUCAUAGUAUUAUAAGAUGGCAUCAUUUAAUAAUUAAAACUUCGGUGGUAAAAGAUGAGUAUGCGUUCUAUUAGCUAGUAGGUAAGGUAACGGCUUACCUAGGCGACGAUAGAUAGGGGCCCUGAGAGGGGGAUCUCCCACACUGGUACUGAGACACGGACCAGACUCCUNACGGGAGGCAGCAGUGAGGAAUAUUGGACAAUGGAGGUAACUCUGAUCCAGCCAUGCCGCGUGCAGGAAGACGGCCCUAUGGGUUGUAAACUGCUUUUGUAUGCCAAGAAACCUAUCUACGUGUAGAUAGUUGACGGUAGCAUACGAAUAAGACCGCUAACU